RNAcentral lists this ribosomal RNA (475 nucleotides) under uncultured organism. Its description in RNAcentral is "partial 16S ribosomal RNA". It matches the Rfam family "Bacterial small subunit ribosomal RNA", at positions 333 to 799 of the family's 1533-position model. The record is from RNAcentral.
ACACUCCUGCGGGAGGCAGCAGUGGGGAAUAUUGCACAAUGGGCGCAAGCCUGAUGCAGCCAUGCCGCGUGUAUGAAGAAGGCCUUCGGGUUGUAAAGUACUUUCAGCGGGGAGGAAGGCGAUAAGGUUAAUAACCUUGUCGAUUGACGUUACCCGCAGAAGAAGCACCGGCUAACUCCGUGCCAGCAGCCGCGGUAAUACGGAGGGUGCAAGCGUUAAUCGGAAUUACUGGGCGUAAAGCGCACGCAGGCGGUCUGUCAAGUCGGAUGUGAAAUCCCCGGGCUCAACCUGGGAACUGCAUUCGAAACUGGCAGGCUAGAGUCUUGUAGAGGGGGGUAGAAUUCCAGGUGUAGCGGUGAAAUGCGUAGAGAUCUGGAGGAAGACCGGUGGCGAAGGCGGCCCCCUGGACAAAGACUGACGCUCAGGUGCGAAAGCGUGGGGAGCAAACAGGAUUAGAAACCCCUGUAGUCCCAUG